GUGGGCAUAGCUCAGCUGGUUAGAGCGCCGGUUUGUGGCACCGGAGGUCAUGGGUUCGAACCCCAUUACUCACCCCA
This 77-nucleotide transfer RNA is filed under the name Pseudomonas sp. FeN3W. Its description in RNAcentral is "tRNA-His". It matches the Rfam family "tRNA". From Rfam's summary of the family: Transfer RNA (tRNA) molecules are approximately 80 nucleotides in length. Their secondary structure includes four short double-helical elements and three loops (D, anti-codon, and T loops). The record is from RNAcentral. Lineage: Bacteria; Pseudomonadati; Pseudomonadota; Gammaproteobacteria; Pseudomonadales; Pseudomonadaceae.